GAUGAACGCUGGCGGCGUGCCUAAUACAUGCAAGUCGAGCGAACAGAUGAGGAGCUUGCUCCUCUGACGUUAGCGGCGGACGGGUGAGUAACACGUGGAUAACCUACCUAUACGACUGGGAUAACUUCGGGAAACCGGAGCUAAUACCGGAUAAUAUAUUGAACCGCAUGGUUCACUAGUGAAAGACGGUUUUGCUGUCACUUAUAGAUGGAUCCGCGCCGCAUUAGCUAGUUGGUAAGGUAACGGCUUACCAAGGCAACGAUGCGUAGCCGACCUGAGAGGGUGAUCGGACACACUGGAAGUGAGAAACGGUCCAGACUCCGACGGGAGGAAGCAGUAGGGAAUCUUACGGAAUGGACGAAAGCCUGACGGAGCAACGCCGCGUGAGUGAUGAAGGUCUUCGGAUCGGAAAACUCUGUUAGUAGGGAAGAACAAAUGUGUAAGUAACUAUGCACGUAUUGACGGUACCUAAUCAGAAAGCCACGGCUAACUACGUG
RNAcentral lists this ribosomal RNA (497 nucleotides) under uncultured bacterium. Its description in RNAcentral is "partial 16S ribosomal RNA". It matches the Rfam family "Bacterial small subunit ribosomal RNA", at positions 28 to 507 of the family's 1533-position model. The record is from RNAcentral.